This is a long non-coding RNA of Daphnia carinata, 430 nucleotides long. RefSeq lists it as uncharacterized. The transcript has 3 exons. The record is from RefSeq and is a predicted model, not a curated record. NCBI's taxonomy places the organism in Eukaryota, Metazoa, Arthropoda, Branchiopoda, Diplostraca, Daphniidae.
CUUCCCGUUGGGGAACGUCACCAAAGAUGCAAAUCCUAUGGGUAUGAAUACCAUAAUAUCGUUCUUCUACUCUUUAACCACUCAUGGUCUCCUUUCAAUCGUGAUCUGAGUGGUGCACCAUAUUCAUCUUCGUUGCAGUGUCAACUGUAAUGACAGUCAUUUUGGCAGUUGUAAUCUCUACUUAGCCUGCUAACGAACACAUACAUGUACCUCAACACAAUUUCUACUGAAUUGCCAACUCUUAGCCGUCUGCUGCCUAUUUGCUGGCCCUACAGUCUUUCUAGCCAUCGGACAGCAGAAAACAAAGCCUUCUUCGUCUUCGCCACGCCCGUCAUCCCGUCUUCGCCACGCCCGUCAUCCCGUCUUCGCUUCGGCCGUCGUCCCGUCUUCGCUUCGGCCGUCGUCCCGUCUUCGCUUCGGCCGUCGUCCC